CCUACGGGAGGCAGCAGUAGGGAAUCUUCCGCAAUGGACGAAAGUCUGACGGAGCAACGCCGCGUGAACGAUGAAGGCCUUCGGGUCGUAAAGUUCUGUUGUUAGGGAAGAACAAGUGCUAGUUAAAUAAGCUGGCACCUUGACGGUACCUAACCAGAAAGCCACGGCUAACUACGUGCCAGCAGCCGCGGUAAUACGUAGGUGGCAAGCGUUGUCCGGAAUUAUUGGGCGUAAAGCGCGCGCAGGCGGUUUCUUAAGUCUGAUGUGAAAGCCCCCGGCUCAACCGGGGAGGGUCAUUGGAAACUGGGAAACUUGAGUGCAGAAGAGGAAAGUGGAAUUCCAAGUGUAGCGGUGAAAUGCGUAGAGAUUUGGAGGAACACCAGUGGCGAAGGCGACUUUCUGGUCUGUAACUGACGCUGAGGCGCGAAAGCGUGGGGAGCAAACAGGAUUAGAUACCCUGGUAGUCCACGCUGUAAACGAUGAGUGCUAAGUGUUAGAGGGUUUCCGCCCUUUAGUGCUGAAGUUAACGCAUUAAGCACUCCGCCUGGGGAUCGGUCGCAAGCUGAAACUCAAAGGAAUUGACGGCUGAGACGNGCGACGACGACGACGAGGGAGGAGG
Molecule: ribosomal RNA, 619 nt
Filed under: uncultured bacterium
Lineage: Bacteria
Description: bacterial SSU rRNA
Rfam family: Bacterial small subunit ribosomal RNA
Source: RNAcentral